Molecule: long non-coding RNA, 1125 nt
Filed under: Sorghum bicolor (sorghum)
Lineage: Eukaryota; Viridiplantae; Streptophyta; Magnoliopsida; Poales; Poaceae
Description: long non-coding RNA (SBIC_LNC003613)
Source: RNAcentral
GGCGGCAUUUGGUUCGACUGGGCCAACUGGGGCCGCGGGUCCCCGGAGCCCGUCAUGGUGCUGCGCACCAAGGAGAUCAAGAACGGCCGCCUCGCCAUGCUCGCCUUCGUCGGCUUCUGGUUCCAGGCCGUGUACACCGGCCAGGGCCCCAUCGACAACCUCCUCGCGCACCUCGCCGACCCCGGCCACUGCAACAUCUUCUCGGUACGCACCUGCACGUGCCCCGGCGCCGGCGCGGCGGCCGGCCUUGCUUGGCUUUGGUUUCUCACCAUUUUACUCAGAAAAUGUUGGGUCUGGUUGGUUUCUUAUACUGCAGGCGUUCACGUCCCACUGAUACGACCAUGCUGUUUCGGAGUUGAAGGCUUCAGGGAGUGAAGUAAGCCAAGAAAAACAAAAGGAUCUGUUCUUUUUUUUUUAGAAUAAUUGGAGUACUUCGCUUGGGCCACGUACGGUAUCAUUUUGGCCUUGGACAUGUCGUUUGUACCUACAUAGAAAUGUUAAACCACUUGUACAAACGUAGUAGAAAUAUAUACCAGGGAUCGCGAUGAUACUAACCAGCACAUUUUGUCCUAAAGCUCCAACACGGUACCGUAUAUAUAGACGGAAUUUAUUGACAUGGACGAUGUAUGUGAACAUGACGUCGUACUAGCUAGUUUACGGUGGAGUGCACAAAGACUACGUGAUGAAGAGUAAAUACUCUACUUUCAGUAUUACAAAAUAAUGGUAUGCUAACAAGAUACUGGCGACAGUAUUAGCAGUAAAACACAGAGCAGCGCCACGCCUUCACCUCACUUGGUCUGUAUACAGUUUCUUCCGUUGUUGGACGGACGUCUGCCAUGGUAUGGGGUACUACAGUGUCAGGUACGCGAGUAUGAAUGAAUGGUCGGGCCAAUGGUACAAAGGAAACAGAUAACGGCGGCAUCAGUGGAUUAUAUUCAGAAACCCAAACACAUCUCCCUCUAUUGUAACUGUUCUUCUUCCUCCUACUAUAGACUACAAUUCUCUCGUGUUCGUGUGUGCCUAGGUUCUUAGCUUCCAUUGUCUUCUAGAACUUUCUAUUAUCACGUACUGUCCUAGUAUGGAUUCUCCCCCUCGUUGCUAAUUGUCCCUGAAUUCCAUCUUAGU